Molecule: transfer RNA, 77 nt
Filed under: Nitrospirota bacterium
Lineage: Bacteria; Pseudomonadati; Nitrospirota
Description: Nitrospirae bacterium (marine sediment metagenome) tRNA-Pro
Rfam family: tRNA
About the family: Transfer RNA (tRNA) molecules are approximately 80 nucleotides in length. Their secondary structure includes four short double-helical elements and three loops (D, anti-codon, and T loops). Further hydrogen bonds mediate the characteristic L-shaped molecular structure. tRNAs have two regions of fundamental functional importance: the anti-codon, which is responsible for specific mRNA codon recognition, and the 3' end, to which the tRNAs corresponding amino acid is attached (by aminoacyl-tRNA synthetases). tRNAs cope with the degeneracy of the genetic code in two manners: having more than one tRNA (with a specific anti-codon) for a particular amino acid; and 'wobble' base-pairing, i.e. permitting non-standard base-pairing at the 3rd anti-codon position.
Source: RNAcentral
CGGGGCGUGGCGCAGUCUGGUAGCGCGCGCGGUUCGGGAUCGCGAGGCCGGAGGUUCGAAUCCUCUCGCCCCGACCA